CAACAAAUCACAGCCGGCCUCA
Molecule: microRNA, 22 nt
Filed under: Dasypus novemcinctus (nine-banded armadillo)
Lineage: Eukaryota; Metazoa; Chordata; Mammalia; Cingulata; Dasypodidae
Also listed under: 1 other name
Description: dno-miR-7-3-3p
Gene: dno-miR-7-3-3p
Source: miRBase by way of RNAcentral